UACGAAGGACCCGAGCGUUAUCCGGAUUUAUUGGGUUUAAAGGGUGCGUAGGCGGACAUGCAAGUCAGUGGUGAAAUCUCCCUGCUUAACAGGGAAACUGCCAUUGAAACUAUGUGUCUUGAGUACAUUUGAGGCGGGCGGAAUGUGUCAUGUAGAGGUGAAAUUCUUAGAUAUGACACAGAACACCAAUUGCGAAGGCAGCUCGCUAAACUGUAACUGACGCUGAGGCACGAAAGCGUGGGGAUCAAACAGG
Molecule: ribosomal RNA, 253 nt
Filed under: uncultured bacterium
Lineage: Bacteria
Description: partial 16S ribosomal RNA
Rfam family: Bacterial small subunit ribosomal RNA
Source: RNAcentral